Molecule: long non-coding RNA, 2081 nt
Organism: Acinonyx jubatus (cheetah)
Lineage: Eukaryota; Metazoa; Chordata; Mammalia; Carnivora; Felidae
Exons: 3
Source: RefSeq, a predicted model, not a curated record
UUCUGCUUUUGCUUUGGCCAGGAGUCUCCGGAGGACGGGGUCCUCCAGGCGCGCCGAAGACGACUACCGAGCCCAGGCGUGAAUCAGAGACCGAGAAAGAAAAAGGGUCGCGUGAGGCUUGAGCCAGACCCCGUGUUCGGCCCUGGCUCAGUCAGUUGUCAUGAUUUUAUAGUCCCUCUUGAGGGGGGACGGAAACUCCUUCGUUGCGGGUCAGCUAAGUCAAAAAGCCGUGAGUUCAGUUCGCUGCCCGAGGUGACAAGAAACUUGCUUGGAUGAAGUCAUGUGAGCUGAACCGAUUGGCCCGAAUCCUCAAAGAGGGGAGUGUCAGGGCGCGCGGCUCCCUCGGAGAGGCUGAGGUAACGCUGGCACCUUCCCGGGAGUCCCCGGACGCCUGGCUUCUGAGUCUCUGUGGAAAGCACUUCUCGCUGGGCGUUGGCGCGCCUGACGAACUGUGCAGUCACUGAGCAGUUGUGGCGAUUGGAAAAUCAGUUUCACGCCCUAGGAAUGUCUGCGAGAGCCGUCCCCGCCCCGCUUCCCAGAUCCAGCCAAAAAAAAAAAAAAAAUCCAAAGCAAAACCAACUGAGAAAUGGAGCUAGAAAUUGAUGAGGGAUUCCUAGCACCUCAGAAUGUUGACUUGGUAACUUUAUUUUUAAGUCUUUAACAAAUUGCGUUUAUGUCACGUAGAAAUUUUAAGCAGCUUCCGGGGGUUUUGUGUCCCACUUGGAACCAACUUCAGAGCAGCUUGCGCAUAAAUUGGAAUUAUGUGAAUCGUACCUCCGGUUAGAGCACUUAACACACGUAGCGUGUAAACAAAUAUUUCCAACUUGUCGGCGACGGGAUCACUAUGCAAGGCAGGCUUACAAAAAUCCAUGGGGAAUGAAAUCUCACUUCUGAAAGUGAAAAACGCAAAUUCAAGUAGCGUCUGGAUACCUUGCGCCCAUUCAGACGGGGACUGAAGGCUAAAUUAAUAUAGUCUUCCUAAAGGAACUAUUUGAAAGGAUGUUACAAAAAGUAGGAACACCUUUGGACCCAGCAAUUCUACUUUUUGGAAUUUAUCCUAAAGACAGUCUUGAAGAACACGAACAACGGUGUUCGUGGCAACGUGGCUUCUAAUAUCAAAGCGUCGUUCACCACUAAAAUGCCCAAUAUAAAUCACAUCACCUCCUGGUGCUUCAAUUUUAUUUUCUCAUCUGUGAGAAGCAGGAACAAUCAUAGGGUUGUGAGGAUGGAAUGGAUGAAUACAAACCAAACCCUUAGGUGCCUAGCAUGUAGUAAGCACUAAAUAAAUGUUUGUUUUGUCCUGCCUCCAUGUUCAUGGUGAGCCCUCAGCCUGCAAUAUCCUCUUGCAAUUUGUCGGAAUCACCCUCAUUUUUCAAGUAUUCAAUGGUGGUUUCUUGCACAAAGCCUUUUUGGAUCCCCCAAACAAGAGAGAGAGAGCACGAACAGGGGAGUGGCGACAGAGAGGAAGACAGAAUCCGAAGCAGGCUCCAGAGCUGUCAGCACAGAGCCUGACGUGGGGCUUGAACCCACAAACCACGACAUCAUGACCUGAGCCAAAGUUGGACGCUCAACCAACGGAGCCACCUGGGUGCCCUGGUUUGUUAUUUUUUAAUUUUUUUUGAAGUUUAUUCAUUUCGAGAGAGACAGAGAAAGCAAGCAGGGGAGGAGCAGAGAAAGAGAGAGAGAGAAAAUCCCAAGCAGGCUCUGCACUGUCAGCACAGGGCCCAAUGUGGGCUUGAACCCACAAAACGUGUGAGACCAUGACCUGAGCUGAAACCAAGAGUCAGAUGCUUAACUGACUGAGCCACCCAGGCGCCCCUGUUAUUUUUUAAAAGUAUUUUAUUUAGUUAUUUUGAGAGAGAGAGAGACAGCACAAGCAGGGGAGGUGCAGACAAAGAUGGGGAGAGAGAGAGAAUCCCAAGCAGGCUCCAUGCUGCCAGCCCAGAGCCCAAUGGGGGCUUGAUCCUAGGAACCAUGAAAUCAUACCUGAGCUGGGUUGAAGAGUCGGAUGCUUAACCAACUGAGUCACCCAGGUGCCCCAAAUCAGUUUGUUAUAUUAUUGAGUUGUAAGAUUCUUUAUA